UUCGGUGGUACUCGAGCGGCGAACGGGUGAGUAACACGUGAGUAAUCUGCCCUUCACUUGGGGAUAACCUCCGGAAACGGUGGCUAAUACCCGAUACGACCAUUCCAGGCAUCUGGUGGUGGUGGAAAGUUUUUUCGGUGGGGGAUGUGCUCGCGGCCUAUCAGCUUGUUGGUGGGGUAAUGGCCUACCAAGGCUUCGACGGGUAGCCGGCCUGAGAGGGUGACCGGCCACACUGGGACUGAGACACGGCCCAGACUCCUACGGGAGGCAGCAGUGGGGAAUAUUGGACAAUGGGCGGAAGCCUGAUCCAGCAACGCCGCGUGAGGGAUGACGGCCUUCGGGUUGUAAACCUCUUUCACCGAUGACGAAGCGCAAGUGACGGUAGUCGGAGAAGAAGCACCGGCCAACUACGUGCCAGCAGCCGCGGUAAUACGUAGGGUGCGAGCGUUGUCCGGAAUUAUUGGGCGUAAAGGGCUCGUAGGCGGUUUGUCGCGUCGGGAGUGAAAACACGGGGCUUAACUCCGUGCUUGCUUUCGAUACGGGCAGACUAGAGGUAUGCAGGGGAGAACGGAAUUCCUGGUGUAGCGGUGAAAUGCGCAGAUAUCAGGAGGAACACCGGUGGCGAAG
This 627-nucleotide ribosomal RNA is filed under the name uncultured Actinomycetes bacterium. Its description in RNAcentral is "bacterial SSU rRNA". It matches the Rfam family "Bacterial small subunit ribosomal RNA", at positions 80 to 720 of the family's 1533-position model. The record is from RNAcentral. Lineage: Bacteria; Bacillati; Actinomycetota; Actinomycetes.